RNAcentral lists this transfer-messenger RNA (415 nucleotides) under bacterium. It matches the Rfam family "transfer-messenger RNA". From Rfam's summary of the family: Bacterial tmRNA, also known as 10Sa RNA or SsrA, is named for its dual tRNA and mRNA-like properties. Its role is to liberate the mRNA from a stalled ribosome. To accomplish this part of the tmRNA is used as a reading frame that ends in a translation stop signal. The record is from RNAcentral.
GGGGCUGAUAUUUAGCUCGACGGUGGACUUUAACAACUAGUUUGCAGGUCGGUUCGCACUGAACGUUAUCCGGUGCAAACCAAACAAAUGCAAUAGCAUUUAUUUCAGGAGCCGGGCUUUUGCUCGGUUUCCGAAAGCGAUUUUCAAAUCCUUUUAAGGCUUUGACCUUCGCACCAGCUUUCGCGACAUACGCUUAAGCCACGCUCUUCAUGACAUCAGAUAGUGUCAGAGUGUGUCAUAUUAUCUGGUUGCCCAAGUUUUACUUUCCAUAAUACUUGUUAAGACUUAGGAAUAGGAGAUGCGACUUUUUGGCCGUUUACCGGCCGCAUUUUCAACAAUUUUUAAACGGCAUACACCUGUAGAAGACUAGUUAAUAAACCAUCGGACCCGGUUGCAAUUACCGGCAGCUCCACCA